CCCUCAUCGACAAUGCGCUGAGCAAGAAGCCGCAGGUAGUGCAGAUCGAACCGACCGACAAGGCGUUCAGGACGACGGGCUGCCAGCCCUGGCAGAACACCGGCGGCGAGGGCAAUGCGCCGGCCGAGCUGCCCGGACCCGCCGCCGGAGCCCAACUGCAAACCGAUCUCGGCAUCCUCAACGGAUUGCUCGGUCCGAACGGACAGCAAGUA
RNAcentral lists this non-coding RNA (212 nucleotides) under Mycobacterium lacus. Its description in RNAcentral is "Mycobacterium sRNA 6715". It matches the Rfam family "Mycobacterium sRNA 6715". From Rfam's summary of the family: First sRNA identified as a potential biomarker for the detection of MTB in patients. The record is from Rfam by way of RNAcentral. Lineage: Bacteria; Bacillati; Actinomycetota; Actinomycetes; Mycobacteriales; Mycobacteriaceae.